AAAGUGUCUCUAUGGAAAUGCUGUGCCUGACUCCUCUGAUGACGCUGGUGAUCAAUGGAUCAAUCAGCUGAUCGCUCCAUUGAUCAGGAAUGUGUCAGUGCUCGUUAACGAGUCUUUGAUGCCGUUUGAUGGAAAACUUUUCUUCCCGAAUGUUUUAUAAGAUCCCCAAAAUUUACUACAAUGUUUUUGUACGGCGGUUCGAUGCCUUCGUGUCACUGUGGAUCACGUUUGGUGGAGGAACCAGACUGAGCGUUGGAAGUGAUGUCCGGCCCACCCUGACGGUGCUGCCCCCCUCCAGGGAGGAGCUGCAGCAGGGGACGGCCACGCUGGUGUGCCUGGCCGACAAGGGCUUCCCCUCCGACUGGAGUCUGGCCUGGAAGGUGGACGGCAGCAGCAGCAGCUGGGAGGAGAGCAGGAGCCCCGGGGUGCUGGGGGGGGGCGCCCUCUACAGCUGGAGCAGCACCCUGAGGCUCCCUGCAGACCAGUGGGCCAAGGUGGGCUCCGUGACCUGUGAGGCCACCCAGGGCUCCCAGACUGCGCUCUCAGAGACGCUGAGGAGAGACCAGUGUUCCCAGUGAGCUGAGCCACUGGGGCUCUGAUACUGGUUCACUCUCAUACUGGUUCAGUCUGCCUGUAAAUCUACAUUUUCUGUUCAUUUCUUUUUUUAAUCACUGUUUAAGUUCCUGUUUCAUUCAAUAAGUUCUUUUAUUUUUUCAACACAAUAAAUAACAUUUCAUCAAAUUCAUUGUCAUCAGUAUGUUAUUGUAAAGUAGACGGAUGUUUCUCUUUCUCUAGUUCCAAUAAAUGCAGAAAAAGUUCUCAACUCA
Molecule: non-coding RNA, 827 nt
Organism: Gasterosteus aculeatus aculeatus (three-spined stickleback)
Lineage: Eukaryota; Metazoa; Chordata; Actinopteri; Perciformes; Gasterosteidae
Source: the annotation of a RefSeq genome assembly